This 2958-nucleotide long non-coding RNA is filed under the name Pan troglodytes (chimpanzee). Its description in RNAcentral is "long non-coding RNA NONPTRT000202". The record is from RNAcentral. Lineage: Eukaryota; Metazoa; Chordata; Mammalia; Primates; Hominidae.
UUAUGAACUAACUUUUUCUUCACUUUUGAUAUACAGGUAAGUUAAAUAAUCCUGACUACAGCUGAAAGGACUAAAGUGGCCAUCUGAAGUAGCCUUUGCUGAUAAUUUUUAGAGAUAAGAAAUAAGAUGCUCAUCAAUUAGCCCAAAAGGAUGAAUGAGGGUAGAGUAUGUGAGAAGGCAGAUUCUGGGACCUUGCAAUUCACAGAGUUGUUGCAAUAAGAUUGGAAUUUCAAAGGAGAGUUUGAAUAUAUCAAUGUUUUGAUUGUCUGUAUAUUUUUGUGUCUGUGCAAGUCAUACAUAAAUCUCUGCCAGCCUUGUGCUUUGUGGCAAGUCUCUCUCAGCUGGUGCAGGGACGGGAGACCUGUGUCUCUUCUCAAGGCAGGGCCAGUGCUCCACCACAGUGCUCCUGAGCACACAGUCCCUGGGACACCCAGGAGUAUGCAGGAGCACGUCCUGGGCCACCUGUUGUUCCUUCCAUCAGCAAGAUGGUGGUCCCAGUUCCUGGCCUGGCAUUGUGUGUUCACACUGCUGGGCUGUCUGAGAAUAUUGGGCCUGAGGAGCAAAAAUCACCCAUGGGUAUGUGUGUCCAGAAGCCUGGAGUAAUCAAACACACCUUCAUGGGUAGGCAUGUUUCUCUUAGUGAAGAUGAUGGUGGGUAAAGACAAUGCAGGAUGCUUCGAGGGUUCUGAGUCAGAGGCCUCCCAGGACAGCACUGAGCUGUUAGCACAGCUGCCAGAGGCAGAACACUGAGUGCUUGAAAAUGUGGGGACUUCAACCAAGCUCCUAUUUUUUUUGGAAGACCACAAUCUCAGAAGCUUUUUAGCAGGAAGCCUAUAAAGGAUGAAUAUCAAUGUAACUUGCCCUGCUGUCAACCUCUGCACAGCUUAGUCACAGAAAUGGACAGGGAAGAGACUCUGAAAAGAAGAAAUCCUCUUAGAGCCUUGGUUCAAGUCUUAGCCCUGUGUCACCUCCUGACUAUGUGAUCUUGCACAAGGGACGCUUUCUCUCUGAAUCUCAGCUUCCAAGUCUAGAGAAAAGAAAUGAAAAUCCUCACCUCCAUGGGAUGUGAGUAUAGAAUGAGAUGGGGCACGUGGCAAGCCUUUGAAAGCCAUGAAAUUCUGUGUGGUUGAGAAUUAGGCUAGAUUCAGCAUUUGCAGGGAAGGAACCUCACUUAGUGAAAAGCUUUUCACCAGAAGAUUUAGGUCCCAGCUAAGCCAGGCUGGUGAGCAUCUAUGUGUCUGUGAUGCUGACUGACCGCACAAGACAUACCUAAUAGCCAGCUCCUGGGAGCAAUGCAACAUCCUUGAGGCAUUGCUGGAUAAACAACUGCUAGUUCCUGCCUGAGGAUGUGAACUCCCCAGCCUCACCAUAUGGCUGGUCAUGAGCAAGAGGAUAGCAAAAGGAUAGCAACCCAGUGGUUGCAAACCAGUGGUUGCUAUCCCCAGCAAGAGGAUAGCAACCCAGUGGCCUUGCUACCUCCAAGGGCCCAGUAGAGCUUGGGACCAAGCUCUAUUGAUCAGCAUCCCCCAGAGUUUUCACCUGCAGAGAAGCAGGACAGGUGGGCACUCAGGAGUGAGGAGCAUGCUGCAUCUCUUUCCUGCAGGUGCAAUUCCCCUGCCCCGGGCUCAGCAAUCAUUUCCUGCUCCCACCCUGGGCUGACAGCACCUGUGUACUAGACUGUUUUCACCGGCAGUUCAAGAGGAAAUCAACUGUCACUGCAUGUCAAAGGUAAUUUCUGAUCACAAGUACAGGAGAAAGACCUGAUGAAGAAGCAAGAUUAAUUUUUCCGGCAGUCAAAGCAUGCAGCUGUAUAGCUCAUGGAUCCAAAAUUGGGAAGCAGGCAUUGGAAAGCAGAACCAGCACACUUGGAAGAUGAUGAACUACCUGGCAGAUCUAAGAUUUGGGGUUAGAAAAAGCCUUUCAAACAGAGCAUGCCUGGCACAUUUUUAGGCAUUUCGUCCAUAAAUUAUGUCUGGGUGCCUAAACAGUGGCCAGGUGAGCCUUUUCUUCUAGCUCUUUCUGAUUCUGUGGCAGUGAAGGAACAAGUCCAGUUCUGAAACUAAACCCAAUCCAGAAACGAACUACCAAGAUACGGAAUAUACACUAGUUUCACUCUUUGCAAACCUUGUUUUUUCCUGUCCCUGAAGUCAGCACCCAACCGGAGUAAGUAUGUAGCAGAAAGUUGCUUGUUGAAUUGAAAAAGGUAAUAAAAAGGAAGAGCUGAAGCAGCAAAAACUGCUGAGAGUGGCAGCUCAGGACUUAGUCUUAAAAAGUGUUAUCUGGUAAAUUUCAUGGUCUUUUCUCCCAUUUUUCUCAGGUUUUUUCCCCUUGAAAAUUAAUAUUUUCUCUAUUCAUUUAAUCAUUUUAUAAGAAACCAAGUAAUAUAGAGUAUAUUUUAACCUCCUGAAAUAAUAAAAUGACUGUAGCUCCUUUAAAGGGUACUAAAAAAAUAAGUAUUACAUAAAUUUCAUUUUUCUUAAAACUUUCACUCACCUGGCUCCUAAACUUCCAAAUGCUUUUCAUUUCGUCCUUCUGCAGCUUUGUGUGGAGCUGAGCUGGAAGAUGAAAUAGCUCCUCCCAGACUAACCAGCCUUCCAGCACCUUCUGCUUAGCUGAGACCCUGACGGCUGGAAGUUUGCCUCACAACCCUAUGAGCUUCCAGAGGGCACAAGAUGUGUCUUGUAAAUGACCAUAUCCUUAGCACCAAACAGGUGCUCAGUAAUCAUUAGCUGAAGAAAGGACUGAAUGAACGCUCCAAAGGCUGGGGCUGGAAGGGCCAGCAGCAACACAAUGGAUGGGUCACUCUUGGCUGCCUCCUUGAACUCCUCCAAUGUAAUCUGGUCGUCCUUAUCCUGGUCCAUCUUCUUGAAGAUCUUGUCCACACGCUGCUGGGGCGUGAGCCCGUCCUGGUUCAUGCGCAUCAUGAUCACGGUGCCCACCAUCUUGUAGAUUGCCUGG